AGGCCCUUCGGGGUACACGAGCGGCGAACGGGUGAGUAACACUUGAGCAACCUGCCCCUGACUCUGGGAUAAGCGGUGGAAACGCCGUCUAAUACCGGAUACGACCCGCCACCUCAUGGUGGAGGGUGGAAAGUUUUUCGGUCAGGGAUGGGCUCGCGGCCUAUCAGCUUGUUGGUGGGGUAACGGCCUACCAAGGCGAUUACGGGUAGCCGGCCUGAGAGGGCGACCGGCCACACUGGGACUGAGACACGGCCCAGACUCCUGCGGGAGGCAGCAGUGGGGAAUAUUGCGCAAUGGGCGAAAGCCUGACGCAGCGACGCCGCGUGGGGGAUGACGGCCUUCGGGUUGUAAACCUCUUUUACCACCAACGCAGGCUUCCAGUUCUCUGGGGGUUGACGGUAGGUGGGGAAUAAGGACCGGCUAACUACGUGCCAGCAGCCGCGGUAAUACGUAGGGUCCGAGCGUUGUCCGGAAUUAUUGGGCGUAAAGAGCUCGUAGGCGGCGUGUCGCGUCUGCUGUGAAAGACCGGGGCUUAACUCCGGUUCUGCAGUGGAUACGGGCAUGCUAGAGGUAGGUAGGGGAGACUGGAAUUCCUGGUGUAGCGGUGAAAUGCGCAGAUAUCAGGAGGAACACCGGUGGCGAAGGCGGGUCUCUGGGCCUUACCUGACGCUGAGGAGCGA
This 680-nucleotide ribosomal RNA is filed under the name Nocardiopsis sp. YIM 78128. RNAcentral describes it as "bacterial SSU rRNA". It matches the Rfam family "Bacterial small subunit ribosomal RNA", at positions 72 to 756 of the family's 1533-position model. The record is from RNAcentral. Lineage: Bacteria; Bacillati; Actinomycetota; Actinomycetes; Streptosporangiales; Nocardiopsidaceae.